GAUGAACGCUGGCGGCGUGCCUAAUACAUGCAAGUCGAACGGACAGACAGGGAGUUUGUUCCUCUGAUGUUAGCGGAAGGCGGGAGAGUAACGCGUGGAUCACCCCCUUAUAAGUCGGGGAAAACUUCGAAAAGAGGGAUAAAAUACCACAGAAGAUGAUGUACCGUGGGGUUCAACAGAAAGUUACGGCCGUGCUGUCACUAAUAGAAGGUGCCGCGCCUGAUUGGCGAGUUGGUGAGGGAACGGCUUACCAAGGCAACGAAGGGUAGCCGACAUGAGGGGUUGAUCGGCACCCCGGGAACUGGGCCAGGGCCCAGCCUCCUACGGGAGGCAGCAGUGGGGAACAUUGGGCAAUGGGCGAAAGCCUGCCGCAGCAAGCCCGCGUGGGUGAAGAAGGCCUUCGGUUCGUAAAGCCCGUUUUUUGGGAAAGAACAGCUGUAGAAUUAAACGUGCCCGUUGUGACGGUACCUUAUCAGAAAGCAACGGCUAACUACGUG
RNAcentral lists this ribosomal RNA (497 nucleotides) under uncultured bacterium. Its description in RNAcentral is "partial 16S ribosomal RNA". It matches the Rfam family "Bacterial small subunit ribosomal RNA", at positions 28 to 507 of the family's 1533-position model. The record is from RNAcentral.